Long non-coding RNA from Astatotilapia calliptera (eastern happy), 444 nucleotides. The record is from Ensembl. NCBI's taxonomy places the organism in Eukaryota, Metazoa, Chordata, Actinopteri, Cichliformes, Cichlidae.
UGCUGCAAGCAGGAUGCUGUAAGGUGGGAUACUGGAGCCAACUACCGGGAAAAAGAAGUGUUUUAAAAGUAGUGAUCGUGGAUAAAGACUGACACGAUAUUGACGGAGUUUUUUGGAUUUUCACAUUGUUCUGAGUAUCAGUGAAUCUACUGAGUGCUCUCAAGCAAAUCCUUCUCAUGCAGGCAACAAAAAACUACCAGCUGUAGUCGAUCACGACCACCACAAAGAAGGAGAAUAUGCUGGUGCUGAAUGCUGGUGCUGAAUGCCCAGAAGACAGUGGAGAUUAUUGUGGACUUCAGGAAGCACACAGCCCCACUCCCCCCCAUCAUCCUGACUGACACCCCCAUCACCUCUGUGGACUCAUUCCGCUUCCUGGGUACCACCAUCACCCAGGACCUGAAGUGGGAGCCCACCAUCACCUCCGUCAUCAAGAAAGCCCAGCAG